UUGGAGCAUGUGCGAUUUCUAUAUCAACCAUGCGAUAUGUUGCAAAAUGUCCAGAGGAUGAGGAGUCAUGGGCGAAAGCAGCAGAAAAAUUAAAUUGUGGGUCUAUUACUCAGUCAUGUGCAGAAUCCAUGGAAUCCUCUUUCAAGAUUCAAAAUUACAUUUUUCAAUACCAUUGUGUAAUAAACGCUUGGCGAAACGCAACUAUGGAAGUAUGUGCACUUAAUCGUACAAUAUUAGGUUUUUGCGCCGAGUUUAAUAUACACGGAGCGGUCAUUCAGGAUAAUUACGAUGCAGACUGUAAACAGCAUUCCCCACCUUGUCCAACGAGUUAUAAUUCAGCUGAGGCUUAUAAAUAUCCAUCAUGCUAUGAGAUGACACAAAGGAACAGAAA
Long non-coding RNA from Saccostrea echinata, 391 nucleotides. RefSeq lists it as uncharacterized. NCBI's taxonomy places the organism in Eukaryota, Metazoa, Mollusca, Bivalvia, Ostreida, Ostreidae. The transcript has 3 exons. The record is from RefSeq and is a predicted model, not a curated record.